GGACCUGACUGCUAUCGGAUUGAUACUAAGCCAUGCGAGUCAUUGUAGCAAUACAAGGCAUACGGCUCAGUAACGCGUAGUCAACCUAACCUAUGGACGGGAAUAGCCUCGGGAAACUGAGAAUAAUGCCCGAUAGAACAUUAUGCCUGGAAUGGUUUAUGUUCCAAAUGAUUUAUCGCCGUAGGAUGGGACUGCGGCCUAUCAGUUUGUUGGUGAGGUAAUGGCCCACCAAGACUAUUACAGGUACGGGCUCUGAGAGGAGUAGCCCGGAGAUGGGUACUGAGACACGGACCCAGGCCCUAUGGGGCGCAGCAGGCGAGAAAACUUUGCAAUGUGCGAAAGCACGACAAGGUUAAUCUGAGUGGUUUCUGCUAAAGAAACCUUUUGUCAGUCCUAGAAACACUGAUGAAUAAGGGGUGGGCAAGUUCUGGUGU
Molecule: ribosomal RNA, 434 nt
Filed under: uncultured archaeon
Lineage: Archaea
Description: bacterial SSU rRNA
Rfam family: Archaeal small subunit ribosomal RNA
Source: RNAcentral